Molecule: ribosomal RNA, 275 nt
Filed under: uncultured bacterium
Lineage: Bacteria
Description: partial 16S ribosomal RNA
Rfam family: Bacterial small subunit ribosomal RNA
Source: RNAcentral
CUGCCGGCGACCGGCGCACGGGUGAGUAACACGUAUGCAACCUGCCCUCCGGCAGGGGGAUAACCCGGAGAAAUCCGGACUAAUACCGCGUGGUACACCAGUGGGGCAUCCCACGGGUGUUAAAAGGAAGCGAUUCCGGCGGAGGAUGGGCAUGCGGCGCAUUAGCUUGUUGGCGGGGUAACGGCCCACCAAGGCGACGAUGCGUAGGGGUUCUGAGAGGAAGGUCCCCCACACUGGUACUGAGACACGGACCAGACUCCUACGGAAGGCAGCAG